Molecule: transfer RNA, 75 nt
Filed under: Occallatibacter sp.
Lineage: Bacteria; Pseudomonadati; Acidobacteriota; Terriglobia; Terriglobales; Acidobacteriaceae
Also listed under: 3 other names
Description: tRNA-Glu
Rfam family: tRNA
About the family: Transfer RNA (tRNA) molecules are approximately 80 nucleotides in length. Their secondary structure includes four short double-helical elements and three loops (D, anti-codon, and T loops). Further hydrogen bonds mediate the characteristic L-shaped molecular structure. tRNAs have two regions of fundamental functional importance: the anti-codon, which is responsible for specific mRNA codon recognition, and the 3' end, to which the tRNAs corresponding amino acid is attached (by aminoacyl-tRNA synthetases). tRNAs cope with the degeneracy of the genetic code in two manners: having more than one tRNA (with a specific anti-codon) for a particular amino acid; and 'wobble' base-pairing, i.e. permitting non-standard base-pairing at the 3rd anti-codon position.
Source: RNAcentral
CACGCCGUAGGCUAACGGUUAGGCCAGCGCCCCUUCAAGGCGCGGAUGCCAGUUCAACUCUGGUCGGCGUGACCA